GCGCGGUUCCCGCCACGCCGGCUCCGCCUCCGCGCGGGCUGACGGCCGAGGCCCGGGCGCCGAGCGGGUCCCGAGCGCAACUCGUGCGGCGGGCGCCGGGGGGACGCGAGCCGGGCCGCCCGUCGCGGCGCCGGACGCCGAUUGCCCGCCGCUGCGGGGCCCCGGCCGCGGCCGGGAAAAGUUGGGGCGGACCGCGAGCCCGCGUGGGCCGGGCGGGAAGUGCGCGUGCCGGGCGGACUCCGGGGGCCGGAGGGACGCGAGGCUGGAUACUGUAACAGAACACUUGGAUUUUGGUGUAACCUGCCAGCAUGUUUCUGAACCUCUCCCCCGAGGAAGCGAGCGGGUAAGAAGGGUCUCUCAUUGGCCCCUGGGCCUGGAUGAACCCUCCAGCUGAGGCGAGGACUAAGAAGACCUGGACCUAAGGAGGCUCCCAUCGCUCAGCUGAAUAACUCAAGUCACCUUUACUGGAAGUCACUUUGCUGAAACUAUUGAAAGAGCCAUUCUUGAAGUUGAAGAAAAGAUCUCUCUACAGGAGAUUCUGCGCCUUGACCAGAGGAGUGUGGCCCUUCCUUCAAAAUCCUCUGUGGACACGCCCUCCUAGCGUCCCUGGGGAAAGAUGCGGCAGCUCAAGGGGAAGCCCAAGAAGGAGACGUCCAAGGACAAGAAGGAGCGGAAGCAGGCCAUGCAGGAGGCCCGGCAGCAGAUCACCACGGUGGUGCUGCCCACGCUGGCCGUCGUCGUGCUCCUGAUCGUGGUGUUCGUGUACGUGGCCACGCGCCCCACCGUCACCGAGUGAGCCCUGUGGCUGGGUGGACUCCCCCAGCAGGGAGCGGAGGUGCGGGAGGGGGCAAGCAAGAGAGAAAUGGCUUUCCUAUUCGGAGAUGUGCCUGAUGCUGAGCUCUGAGCAGAGCACCCUGUCUUCUCUGAUCUCUGACUUGAUUAAAGUUUCUCCACUUUUCUUGGGAGGGAAUAGGGAACGUUUUAUCAGUGAACAUGCCAUACACUUUAUGGUCCACUUCAUGUGCCUUUCAGACUUCAAAGCAGUGUGUGUGUUUCUUUUUUUCUUCUGAAAUCGAUGUGUAGCUCCACCUGGUGAGAGGAGGCAUCUCUGGGUCCUGAAUCGGUUGGAAUCAGCGCUCACCCCAUUCCCAUUGUUUUGAACAUGACUCUUGCCUACAUGUGUUCACAAUUUCCAAAGGGACUGUGUUUCUUCUCUGUGCUUAAUGUGAUUUGAAAUAUGUCAACUCAAAAGUGAAAUAUUUAUUUUUUGAAUAAAGGAGAUAAUAGCCUUAAACUGGAUGUUUAUCUUGCUUUGCCAGGAGGCGGCCUUGUUUUCUGUGGAGGCACAGGAAGGCGCUGUCUGUGGGGCUCCCUCUCUGGCAGUGUCCCUCUUCCCUCCACUCCUCUCCCCUGAGGCUUUCUCCACCUUCCCCCUUGACUCCCUGCUGUGAAUCACUUCCAGUAAAAUUGUGCUUUUUGACUGGAUCAUCC
RNAcentral lists this long non-coding RNA (1491 nucleotides) under Equus caballus (horse). Its description in RNAcentral is "lncRNA (ENSECAG00000029156.3)". The record is from RNAcentral. Lineage: Eukaryota; Metazoa; Chordata; Mammalia; Perissodactyla; Equidae.